Physcomitrium patens is the source of this 1029-nucleotide non-coding RNA. NCBI's taxonomy places the organism in Eukaryota, Viridiplantae, Streptophyta, Bryopsida, Funariales, Funariaceae. The record is from RefSeq and is a predicted model, not a curated record.
UUUCUCUGUGUUUGUGGUAGUGCUCUGUAAAUUUCGUUUAGGUCAAGCUCGGUGAGCUGGGCCAUUGUAGCAGAGUUGGUAGAAGCUGAGUUUUUUUUUCUUCUGCCUGUGUCACACUUAACGCACUAUAGGAAGUGCAACAAUUUUGUUUACUUUCCGGUUAGACUCUGGUCUGUGCUCUGUUGACGACUCGGCAUGCCCAAGCGGGGCAGUUGGAGCCAUUUUGUGCUUCCGUUACAAUAGCUUGGUGACUGAAGUGGCAUUACUGGGCGUUCGAAGGUUUUGCAGCGGCUCUUCCUCCUACAGAUUUUUUUCCUCCGCUCUAGUUGGCGGUUCAAGGAUUUCCUUGAUGGACGAAAGGAGCUAUGUUGACAGAGUGCAUGUUGUGUGUAUUAGUGAGAGAGAGAGAGAGAGAGAGAGAGGUGAAAGAGCUAAUAUAAAAGAGCAUUUUUUAGUUGAGAAUAUAAAUGAAAAUCUAGCCAAUGCUAUUGGUUGACAGGCACUCUAUAGAUCUAAGAAGCUGGACGUGAGGUCUGAAAGUUGCUGCAUUGAUGCCACAUAGGUGUUGAUGAGGACUUAAAAACCCCGCCGCCAUUGCAAUUUUGAUUGUAGAAUUGGACAGAUUCGUUUGUCCAUUGGAACCCAUUUUUUUAUCUUACCUUAGUGCGGUUCUUCGUUCGUCUUCAAGAUUGGCUGUGGUUUUUGCGAAAAAAAGAGAAAAUAAUAUGUUGCUCGAGCGGGUGAUCCAGUGCAACUAAAGUCCAUUACUGCUCGUCAAGGCUGACUGCAAUAUUUGCAAGGAAAAGAUAAGAGUACGUUGCUCAAUCGCUCAUCAUUGUAGUGGAGGACCCUCUUCAAACUUCCAACGGAUGAGUUCCCCGGAUUGAAUGAUCAGUUAGGCGAAUGGAUUAGGGUUAGGAUUGAAUUAGGUUAGUUGGAUGAAUAAUUUAAUCGGGAUGAUAAACUUUAUCAUGGAUAAAAUUUUAAAAAUGGAUGAAGUAUAUGGAUGAAGUAUUAUUUAAGGAUGAA